UUACAUUGUUGAUAACUUUUAACGCAUGGAAAUGAGGUGCAAAUCCUCUGCUGUGCCGCAACCGUGAAUUUUGAGCCAUGACGCGUUCAAAAUAAGCCGGGUCUUUGCUUUAAGAGUUAUAAUUAUUCAUCUCCCGAGCAGGAGAGUGAAGUAG
Molecule: small RNA, 154 nt
Filed under: Candidatus Parcubacteria bacterium
Lineage: Bacteria; Candidatus Parcubacteria
Source: RNAcentral